This is a long non-coding RNA of Dermochelys coriacea (leatherback sea turtle), 531 nucleotides long. RefSeq lists it as uncharacterized. Lineage: Eukaryota; Metazoa; Chordata; Testudines; Dermochelyidae. The record is from RefSeq and is a predicted model, not a curated record. The transcript has 3 exons.
UCUGGCUCUGAGACCAAUUACUUGGAUUGUGCCACAUAGGAGAAAUGUGUUACUUUAGGUGGAAGGCAGGAGAGAUGGAGACCUAGAGGCAAUUUCAACUAAUGGCUUGGGCAAAGAAAUGAGAAAUCAAGAGAUCCUGAGAUAUAACACAAGCUCUGAUAUAAUCAUGCUUUCUGGCCUUCAUAGGCUCACUUCAUCCCUGUGUCAGUUUCCACAUCUGAUAAAAGAAGCUGUUCAUGCACAAAGGGGUGCUGUUGAGCUUCAGAUGAGCUGAGCACCCUUCCAGAAAACCAAAAGGGCAGAAUCCAGGCACCACUGGGUGCCUACUGAGUGUGGUUCUGACGGACUCCAAAGCAGUCACCAGCCUGGGAAGAGAGCUUUGGGCAAGAGAAACCAGCUUCCAUUCUAGCAAUAUCCAGCUCAGUUGUGACUGGGAAACAAAGACAAUCAGAAAAUAAAAGACAAAGAGGAACAAGAGACAGCAGGAUUCAGAGGACAGAAGUGAGAAAGAUAAUAAACACACAGGAGAUC